RNAcentral lists this long non-coding RNA (853 nucleotides) under Nicotiana benthamiana. RNAcentral describes it as "long non-coding RNA (NBEN_LNC035538)". Lineage: Eukaryota; Viridiplantae; Streptophyta; Magnoliopsida; Solanales; Solanaceae. The record is from RNAcentral.
UCCACGCUCUCUCCUCUCUCUUCUCUCCUCUCUCUAGGACGACAUGGUGUAGUAACGCAAGUAUAUUUAGGAUGACGGCUAAUUCAACUUUAUCUAAUUAAUUUAUUCAUUUGCUACUUUUCCUAUGCCUUUGAUUCCUCUGACUUUUCAUCCUCCCCUUCCCUCUCUCCCGCUUUCAAAACAAUUAGUCUCUUGGAUAUCACCAAUGCUUUACAAAUUAGAAGCUGUUAUACCAUAUUUUCUCUAACUGAGAAAUUUAGCUUAUUUGUUCAGUAAAUACGAGACAUGAGUGACACGGUGUAGUAUAGGUAGAUGCGUAGCCCUCUCCGUCAAGUUAACAUCAGAAGGAUUAAGGUUGAAUCUCAAGAGCCUUUGUUUGUAUCUCGUUUCCGAAUCCGCCGACCGUUUGGAUUGGUUAGGGUUGAAUCUCAAGAGCCUUCACAGUUUUGUAUGGAUCUCGUUUCCGGAUCUCGUCUCCAUCAAGUUAACAUCAUAAGGGUUAAGCUACCGCAAUAUACGAAGAUUCAAUUUGUUGAAGAUAAAACUGGGAAGGUUAUCAAGCAUGUCCAGAAAUUCAAUUUGCGCUAAGCAAUUUGGUUUUCUAUUAAUAUAUUUUAAUGUAUUUUCAAUGUAUCACACUGUAUUUUCAUGUAAUUCAUUAUAUUCAUUGUCUAUUUUUUCAUUGUAUUCACUGUCUUUUUUUUAUUAUUAUAUUUCAAUGUAUCCCGGUGUAUUCUAUGUAUUUCAUUAUAGUUACUGUAUCGUUAUAUGUCAUGAAUGUAUUCAUAUAUUUUUUUAAUUAAUAUAAUUUAUGUAUUCAGAUGUAUUAUAUAAUUUCUUUGAAGAUUGCUAU